Molecule: non-coding RNA, 72 nt
Organism: Bos taurus (domestic cattle)
Lineage: Eukaryota; Metazoa; Chordata; Mammalia; Artiodactyla; Bovidae
Source: Rfam
UCCCUGGUGGCUCAGCUGGUAAAGAAUCUGCCUGUAAUAUGGGAGACCUGGGUUCGAUCCCUAGCUUGGGAA